GAGAGGAUUACUACGAGGAGGAAAGGGUCUAUGCUUUGGGGGAGGGAAACUUGGAAUAGCGACACUAUUGUGGCCAUUGCGAAUGCAAGCACCCUAGGAAUUAGGCAAGAAAAACUUUGCUUUUAUAGGGAAUAGGCUAGUGGGAUUAAACAGAAGAACAGGAGAGGUAAGGAGGUGUGGGCUAGAAGGCCAUGAAUACUUUAUCCUGAGAGCUAAAACAUUUGAGGCUGCUUGCUGUCCCAGGCUGAGGGUGGGCCAACUUCCAGGGGCCUGGAGGAAGGGGAGGAGCUAAACCAGAGUUUGGUGCACAAGCACUUUGUUCUGACUUGUGGGGACAAGUAGUUCUGUGCAUCACUUGUGAGAUACAGUGUUAUGGUUUGGAUGUGAGGUGUCCCCCAAAAGCUCAGGGGAGAGACAAUGCAAGAAGGUUCAGAAGUGAAAUGAUCAGGCUACGGGAGCUGUAACCUCAUCACUGGAUUAAUCCACUGAUAGGAUUAACUGGGUGGUGACUGUAGGCAGGUAGGGUGUAGGCAGAGGAAGCAGGUCACCGGGGUAUAUAUUUACAUUUCAUUCCUGGCAAGCUGAGCUCUCUGCUUUCUGGCUGUCACAUCCUGAGCUGCUUCCCACCAUCACACCCUUCUGCCAUGAUGUUCUGCCUCCCCUUAGGCCAGGGCCAUGCAGUCAACCAACAGUGGACCGAACCUCUGAAAACCCAUGAGCCAAAGAUGAACUUUCCCUCCUGUACAUUGCUCUUGCCAGGUCUUCU
RNAcentral lists this long non-coding RNA (766 nucleotides) under Marmota monax (woodchuck). Lineage: Eukaryota; Metazoa; Chordata; Mammalia; Rodentia; Sciuridae. The record is from RNAcentral.